UAAUCUGCCUUGGAGUGGGGAAUAACGGCUGGAAACAGCGCUAAUACCGCAUGAAACAGUUGGGAGGCAUCUCUCUGACUGUCAAAGAUUUAUCGCUCUGAGAUGAGCUCGCGUCUGAUUAGCUAGUUGGCGGGGCAACGGCCCACCAAGGCGACGAUCAGUAGCCGGACUGAGAGGUUGGCCGGCCACAUUGGGACUGAGACACGGCCCAGACUCCUACGGAAGGCAGCAG
This 232-nucleotide ribosomal RNA is filed under the name uncultured bacterium. RNAcentral describes it as "partial 16S ribosomal RNA". It matches the Rfam family "Bacterial small subunit ribosomal RNA", at positions 122 to 354 of the family's 1533-position model. The record is from RNAcentral.